RNAcentral lists this ribosomal RNA (253 nucleotides) under uncultured bacterium. RNAcentral's name for it is "partial 16S ribosomal RNA". It matches the Rfam family "Bacterial small subunit ribosomal RNA", at positions 524 to 776 of the family's 1533-position model. The record is from RNAcentral.
UACGUAGGGUGCGAGCGUUAAUCGGAAUUACUGGGCGUAAAGCGUGCGCAGGCGGUUAUGCAAGACAGAUGUGAAAUCCCCGGGCUCAACCUGGGAACUGCAUUUGUGACUGCAUGGCUGGAGUGCGGCAGAGGGGGAUGGAAUUCCGCGUGUAGCAGUGAAAUGCGUAGAUAUGCGGAGGAACACCGAUGGCGAAGGCAGUCCCCUGGGCCUGCACUGACGCUCAUGCACGAAAGCGUGGGGAGCAAACAGG